This is a non-coding RNA of Labrus bergylta (ballan wrasse), 563 nucleotides long. The record is from RefSeq and is a predicted model, not a curated record. Lineage: Eukaryota; Metazoa; Chordata; Actinopteri; Labriformes; Labridae.
AACAACGCGAGAUUAUGAUGAGCUCUGCUGGAGGAAAGAAAAAAAACGGGGCCUGGAUAACAUUAUAUUUAUGAAGUCGGUUUGACAAGAGUGGAUCUUCUAACGCUGAUUAUUAUUCAUUUGAGCAUUUUGUCACACACGUCGACCCCCGGAUGCUCGGCCAUGUGUUGUUGUCUAUUUGACGUGAGGAGGCUAGAGGGAGGCAAGUCCAUGACACCAUGAGUCCUCCAGCUCUGCCCGUAGUCUUCUGCUGUUGUCACAGGAAAAUCUGGCUGCAUUCACCAGCAGGAGGCGAACACAUCUCUAUUUCCUCCCAAUAAUUUACCCGCCUGACUCUAUGGAACGACAAGCAUAAUGAAUAGAUACACCAACAUCAGACAGCUCGGGGAUGGCACCUACGGCUCCGUCAUCCUCGGCCGCAGUCUGGAGUCGGGGGAGCUGGUCGCGAUAAAGAAAAUGAAAAGAAAAUUCUACUCCUGGGAAGAAUGCAUGAACCUCCGUGAAGUCAAGGUGAGUGAUGGUUUUUCAUUUGAACACGGUUUCAGAAUUAGAUUUUGGGAAGA